GUGGUGCUUGGCGUAUGGCGUCCGCGGGAUCCCCUGCCCAGUGCAGCCGACCGCGUGCGCCGCGCCUCUUCAAUUUGACCCUCUCGGAGGGCAAGUUGGGAUGGUCUGUGCGGAAUAGUCGGUGCGCGGCAAUCUCUUGACCCGAAUGCGAUAUGAUUCGGCUCUCCCCCACCCGCGCUGCGCGGAUGCGGCGGGGAGGCGACCAGCUGCGGCGCUCCGAGCAUCCCACAGGCGGCCCUCGGGCGGCCCGUCGGGGUCUCGGUAAGCCGGCGUGCUUUGCGGAUGCGGUGGAUGGGAUGAUGGCGUCGGGGCGUUUCGCGCCCCGUCGUCUGACGACGCGCGGUCGGCCCCCGAGGCGACGGCGCGGGGCGCGCGCGGAAGCGCGCUUGCCCCGCUGUCGCGCGGGCGGCCGGCGCGCGACAUUCGGGAACGAGCGCCGGUGCUGGGCCAAUUGGCGCGGCUGCGCCGCGAGGCGCGGGCGGCGUCGUGCGGCCCCGCGCGCGGGCGUCGUGCGGAGGAACGCUACCUGGUUGAUN
Molecule: unclassified non-coding RNA, 536 nt
Filed under: Wolffia neglecta
Lineage: Eukaryota; Viridiplantae; Streptophyta; Magnoliopsida; Alismatales; Araceae
Description: partial external transcribed spacer
Source: RNAcentral